AUCCUUCCGGUAACUCGGUAGUUAAAUAAUAUUAUAGUAAGUCCAUGAUUUUCUGAAGACUACACUACAAUAAGUUCAUAGUUUUCUGGAGAGAUAAUAUUAUUAUCCUUAACAUUAAUAUAUUAUGAUUUUAGAAUACCUGAAAACAUUAUCUCUUAUCGCGUACGUGGAAGUAAGCAUUCAAGACCAUAUCAAUUCGCCAGCUACCUGUAGGUUGCUUGCUUGACCCAACUUAAUGGAUGCGUCCACGAAGAAGCUGUGCAUGCAAGUCGUGUGGCACGUGUACCUUGCUACUAGAACGUACCAUGGAUGGAAAAUGAAGCUGCUACCUACUCGUAAUCUCUCUACUAUAUACUCCCUCCAUCCCGAAUUACUUGUCGCAGGUAUGGAUGUAUCUAGAUGUAUUUUAAUUCUAGAUAUAUCCACAAUUUGCUAGCCCGUCAAUCAUCGAAUAUCAUCGGCCGUACGUCCAUCAGCUCGGAGAAGACCGUCCAUCAAUCGUUAUCAACCAGUGCUACGAAGAUGAGUUCCUCCGACGACCUCGCCGGUGGAAAGAAAACUUCGUGGCCGGAGGUGGUCGGGCUGACCAUCAAGGAGGCCAAGGAGAUCAUCCUGAAGGACAAGCCCGACGACGACAUUGUCAUGGUGCCGGUCGGCUCCGCCGUGACCGAGGACUUGAGGCCCAACCGUGUCCGCAUCUCCGUGGGCACCGUCGCCGAGAUCCCCCACGUUGGAUAGGUGGAUAGCUCUUGCUGGCUUGCUGUGGCCUGCAUACAUACAUGCUGGCUCACGAAUAAAUGAAUAUGGAGAAAUAAAGAAGUAUGCAAGUCGAUCAUGUGUGCUUAAUCGGUCCUUAAAAUGUGCUUAAUCGGUGUUGUGGCAAUUUUUAUUUUAUUUUAACUCGUUUUGCCAAUUUAUAUCGAACUAUGUAUUUGAUGGCUACUUCGUAUAAUAAUAUGGAUGCAUGCACCAUUUUAAUGUA
Aegilops tauschii subsp. strangulata is the source of this 982-nucleotide non-coding RNA. The record is from RefSeq and is a predicted model, not a curated record. Lineage: Eukaryota; Viridiplantae; Streptophyta; Magnoliopsida; Poales; Poaceae.